Molecule: non-coding RNA, 91 nt
Organism: Immersiella caudata
Lineage: Eukaryota; Fungi; Ascomycota; Sordariomycetes; Sordariales; Lasiosphaeriaceae
Source: the annotation of a GenBank genome assembly
GGUUGUAUAGUGUAGCGGUUAUCACAUCGGAUUCUGAUUCAGCACCAGCUUGGUCUUUCCGGUAACCCCGGUUCGAUUCCGGGUACGACCU